GAGAGGCCCUGGGGAGCCCUGGCUGCUGCUGAGUCUCAGAGGCAGAGCUCAGGGCGCCUCCACCAUGGCCUGGACCCCUCUCCUGCUCCCCCUCCUCUCUCUCUGCACAGGCUCCGUGGCCUCCUAUGAGCUGACCCAGCCGUCUUCAGAGUCAGUGGCCUUGGGUAUACGGCCAAGAUCACCUGCUCCGGGGAUCUGCUGGAUGAAAAAUAUACGCAAUGGUACCAGCAGAAGCCAGGCCAGGCCCCCCUGCUGGUCAUUUAUAAGGACAGUGAGCGGCCCUCAGGGAUCCCUGAGCGGUUCUCUGGGUCCAGCUCAGGGAAAACGGCCACCCUGACCAUCACUGGGGCCCAGGCUGAGGACGAGGCCGACUACUACUGUCAGUCAGCUGACAGCAGUGGUAAUGCUCACAGUGACACAGCCAGAUGGGGAAGGGGGACACAAACCCCUCCCCGGCUGGGUCCCCCUCCUCCAGCCCCAGGAAGACUGCGGACAAAGCAGAGAGGAAACCCUGCACAAGCCCCUGAGUCCUUGUGUCUUCGAGUAAAAGCCUUUGCCUCUAGCCUCGCAGCCUCCCCUCCAUCUCAAAGGCUGACUCCAGAGUGAAUGCAUGCAGAACAGA
Phacochoerus africanus (Common warthog) is the source of this 622-nucleotide non-coding RNA. Lineage: Eukaryota; Metazoa; Chordata; Mammalia; Artiodactyla; Suidae. The record is from the annotation of a RefSeq genome assembly.